CCUACGGGUGGCAGCAGUGGGGAAUAUUGGACAAUGGGGGCAACCCUGAUCCAGCCAUGCCGCGUGUGUGAAGAAGGCCCUCGGGUUGUAAAGCACUUUCAGUGAGGAAGAACGCCUGGUGGUUAAUACCCAUCAGGAAAGACAUCACUCACAGAAGAAGCACCGGCUAACUCCGUGCCAGCAGCCGCGGUAAUACGGACGGUGCGAGCGUUAAUCGGAAUUACUGGGCGUAAAGCGCGCGUAGGUGGCUUGAUAAGCCGGUUGUGAAAGCCCCGGGCUCAACCUGGGAACGGCAUCCGGAACUGUCAAGCUAGAGUGCAGGAGAGGAAGGUAGAAUUCCCGGUGUAGCGGUGAAAUGCGUAGAGAUCGGGAGGAAUACCAGUGGCGAAGGCGGCCUUCUGGACUGACACUGACACUGAGGUGCGAAAGCGUGGGUAGCAAACAGGAUUAGAUACCCUGGUAGUC
RNAcentral lists this ribosomal RNA (465 nucleotides) under Vreelandella stevensii. RNAcentral's name for it is "partial 16S ribosomal RNA". It matches the Rfam family "Bacterial small subunit ribosomal RNA", at positions 338 to 795 of the family's 1533-position model. The record is from RNAcentral. Lineage: Bacteria; Pseudomonadati; Pseudomonadota; Gammaproteobacteria; Oceanospirillales; Halomonadaceae.